This 800-nucleotide ribosomal RNA is filed under the name uncultured bacterium. RNAcentral's name for it is "bacterial SSU rRNA". It matches the Rfam family "Bacterial small subunit ribosomal RNA", at positions 17 to 812 of the family's 1533-position model. The record is from RNAcentral.
UCCUGGCUCACGAUGAACGCUGGCGGCGUGCCUAACACAUGCAAGUCGAACGAAGUCAGACAGAGGAAGUUUUCGGAUGGAAUCAGAAUAACUUCAGUGCCAGGACGGGUGAAUAACGCGUAGGGAAACCUGCCCUGCCCCGGGGGAUAACACUUAGAAAUAGGUGCUAAUACCGCAUAAGCGCACGGAACCGCGUGGUUCCGUGUGAAAAACUCCGGCGCCACAGGAUGGUCCCGCGUCUGAUUAGCCAGCUGGCAGGGUAACGGCCUACCAAAGCUACGAUCAGCGGCCGGCCUGAGAGGGUGAACGGCCACAUUGGGACUGAGACACGGCCAAAACUCCUACGGGAGGCACCACUGGGGAAUCUCGCCCAAUGGGGGGAAACCUCUAAUGCAUCCACACCGCGUGAGUGAAUAAGUAUUUCGGUAUGUAAAGCUCUAUUAGCAAGGAAGAAAAUGACGGUUCCCUGACUAAGAAGCCCCGGCUAACUACGUGCCAGCAGCCGCGGUAAUACGUAGGGGGCAAGCGUUAUCCGGAUUUACUGGGUGUAAAGGGAGCGUAGACGGCAUGGCAAGCCAGAUGUGAAAACCCAGGGCUCAACCUUGGGCUUGCAUUUGGAACUGCCAGGCUGGAGUGCAGGAGAGGUAAGCGGAAUUCCUAGUGUAGCGGUGAAAUGCGUAGAUAUUAGGAGGAACACCAGUGGCGAAGGCGGCUUGCUGGACUGUAACUGACGUUGAGGCUCGAAAGCGUGGGGAGCAAACAGGAUUAGAUACCCUGGUAGUCCACGCGGUAAACGAUGA